GACGGGUGGGUAACGCGUGGGAACGUACCUUUUGGUUCGGAACAACACAGGGAAACUUGUGCUAAUACCGGAUAAGCCCUUACGGGGAAAGAUUUAUCGCCGAAAGAUCGGCCCGCGUCUGAUUAGCUAGUUGGUGAGGUAAUGGCUCACCAAGGCGACGAUCAGUAGCUGGUCUGAGAGGAUGAUCAGCCACAUUGGGACUGAGACACGGCCCAAACUCAUACGGGAGGCAGCAGUGGGGAAUAUUGGACAAUGGGCGCAAGCCUGAUCCAGCCAUGCCGCGUGAGUGAUGAAGGCCCUAGGGUUGUAAAGCUCUUUUGUGCGGGAAGAUAAUGACGGUACCGCAAGAAUAAGCCCCGGCUAACUUCGUGCCAGCAGCCGCGGUAAUACGAAGGGGGCUAGCGUUGCUCGGAAUCACUGGGCGUAAAGGGUGCGUAGGCGGGUCUUUAAGUCAGGGGUGAAAUCCUGGAGCUCAACUCCAGAACUGCCUUUGAUACUGAAGAUCUUGAGUUCGGGAGAGGUGAGUGGAACUGCGAGUGUAGAGGUGAAAUUCGUAGAUAUUCGCAAGAACACCAGUGGCGAAGGCGGCUCACUGGCCCGAUACUGACGCUGAGGCACGAAAGCGUGGGGAGCAAACAGGAUUAGAUACC
Molecule: ribosomal RNA, 650 nt
Filed under: uncultured bacterium
Lineage: Bacteria
Description: bacterial SSU rRNA
Rfam family: Bacterial small subunit ribosomal RNA
Source: RNAcentral